RNAcentral lists this long non-coding RNA (786 nucleotides) under Volvox carteri. RNAcentral's name for it is "long non-coding RNA (VCAR_LNC003838)". Lineage: Eukaryota; Viridiplantae; Chlorophyta; Chlorophyceae; Chlamydomonadales; Volvocaceae. The record is from RNAcentral.
CUCUGGCAUGGAAGAAUCAUUGCUACCGCUCACUAUAAUAUACCUCUACUACUAUUUAUUAUUAUAGGGUAGUAGUAGUACCAGUACUACUAAAUACUACUACUCGUAGUAGUAGCAGCACAUACAAUAAAUCGCUCCAGGGAUAGGAUUCGUGAAACAAUUUUUUUCAAAAUUCUCGCCAGUCCAGAAAUGCACUCCAGGGAGGGAAGAUCAUGAAAAAUACCCGCAGUUUAAGUUACAACGACUCCUAUAGUAUAUACUAGGAGCAUGUGUGCUGUCAGUAAGCCAAGAGACUGCUGAUGCUUUGCUGAUUGGGGAUUGCUCUGCUUUUGCUUUCUAGUAGUAGUGGUCUUAGUAGUCUUUGUAGUAGUCUUAGUAGUCUUAGUAGUAGUCUUAGUAGUUAGUCUUAGUCUUAGUAGUAGUCUUAGUCUUAGUAGUAGUCUUAGUCUUAGUAGUAGUCUUAGUCUUAGUAGUUUUAGUCUUAGUAGUCUUAGUCUUAGUAGUUUAGUCUUAGUCUUAGUAGUAGUCUUAGUCUUAGUCUUAGUCUUAGUCUUAGUCUUAGUUGUCUUAGUCUUAGUAGUCCUAGUCUUAGGUAGUCUUAGUCUUAGUAGUCUUAGUCUUAGUAGUAGUAGUCUUAGUCUUAGUCUUAGUAGUUUUAGUCUUAGUAGUAGUCUUAGUCUUAGUAGUCUUAGUCUUAGUAGUCUUAGUCUUAGUAGUCUUAGUCUUAGUAGUUGUCUUAGCAGUAGUCUUAGUCUUAGUAGUAGUAGUCUUAGUAGUAGUAGUCNN